AUAUUGGACAAUGGGGGCAACCCUGAUCCAGCCAUGCCGCGUGUGUGAAGAAGGCCUUUUGGUUGUAUAGCACUUUAAGUGGGGAAGAGGGUACCGAUGCUAAUACCAUCGAGUAUUGGACAUUACCCACAGAAUAAGCACCGGUUAACUCUGUGCCAGCAGCCCCGGUAAUACAGAGGGUGCAAGCGUUAAUCGGAAUUACUGGGCGUAAAGCGAGUGUAGGUGGCUUAUUAAGUCACAUGUGAAAUCCCUGGGCUUAACCUAGGAACUGCAUGUGAUACUGGUAGUGCUAGAGUAUGUGAGAGGGGGGUAGAAUUCCAGGUGUAGCGGUGAAAUGCGUAGAUAUCUGGAGGAAUACCGAUGGCGAAGGCAGCCCCCUGGCAUAAUACUGACACUGAGACUCGAAAGCGUGGGGAGCAAACAG
Molecule: ribosomal RNA, 424 nt
Filed under: uncultured bacterium
Lineage: Bacteria
Description: bacterial SSU rRNA
Rfam family: Bacterial small subunit ribosomal RNA
Source: RNAcentral